This is a long non-coding RNA of Vollenhovia emeryi, 457 nucleotides long. RefSeq lists it as uncharacterized. The transcript is spliced from 2 exons. The record is from RefSeq and is a predicted model, not a curated record. NCBI's taxonomy places the organism in Eukaryota, Metazoa, Arthropoda, Insecta, Hymenoptera, Formicidae.
UUGGGUGAAUCCUUGUCUCUUUCUAUCGAUGUAAAACCUUACCAAAAACAUCGACUCUGUGACGUCAUGCACGUGCAGGCGGUGACCGGUGUAAACGGUGCAGGCUACAGAAUUCACUGCCGGCUACACGACUAAACUAAAGAGCAAAAUUAUAGAAAGACAAAAAUGGUUCAUUAUUGUGUAAUAAAAAAUUGUAAAUCUGUAUAGACUCAAACAACUGCUUUAACUUUUCAUCGAUUUCCACCCGCAACCAGUGCAAGCUUUCAGAUCUGGUUAGAUUAUAUUCCAAAAUAUUUAAUGAAAGAAUAUCAAAACUAUACAUCGAUCUGUAUAUGCAGUAAGCAUUUUGUAGAAUCUGAUUAUCGGUCCUCAAGUUCAAGCCAUCAACUUAAGAAGGAUGCAUUCCCUACAAUAUUUGAAGAAAAUCCUACAUCUACAAUUGAACAUUUUGUUUUGG